This 292-nucleotide ribosomal RNA is filed under the name uncultured bacterium. Its description in RNAcentral is "partial 16S ribosomal RNA". It matches the Rfam family "Bacterial small subunit ribosomal RNA", at positions 505 to 796 of the family's 1533-position model. The record is from RNAcentral.
GUGCCAGCAGCCGCGGUAAUACGUAGGUGACGAGCGUUAUCCGGAAUUACUGGGCGUAAAGCGCACGCAAGCGGUUGGACAAGUCUGGCGUGAAAUCUCCUGGCUUAACCAGGAGCGGUCGCUGGAAACUGUCGAGCUUGAGGCGAUGAGAGGGGUGCAGAAUUCCCGGUGUAGUGGUGGAAUGCGUAGAGAUCGGGAGGAAUACCAGUGGCGAAAGCGGCACCCUGGCGUCGUACUGACGCUCAUGUGCGAAAGCGUGGGGAGCGAACGGGAUUAGAAACCCGAGUAGUCC